Non-coding RNA from Paramuricea clavata, 766 nucleotides. The record is from the annotation of a GenBank genome assembly. NCBI's taxonomy places the organism in Eukaryota, Metazoa, Cnidaria, Anthozoa, Malacalcyonacea, Plexauridae.
CAUCAUUUGCAAUUUACCCACCCAUACUUUUCUAGUGACCUUGUAUGGAAUAGAUUUUGUCUUGACCUUGGCCAAGCCUUUAUUUAAGCCACAGUGAUUUGUCAGCAGGGGCAUGCACAUGAAAAAUGUAAUUUAAUUAGCAAGCAUUUUUUUGAAAAAUGCUUAGUAAGCAAUAUUUCUUAGUAAUUGCUAGAUAAAUCAUAUCCAGAAAAAUAAAUAUAUACCAACAAACUUCUGUCUGGCUUUUAAAAGUAAUAAACAUGAUUUUAAAUAAUAGUUGGUUAAUUUAAAGUAUUAAUAGCCAUUAACACACAAGCAGCACAUGUUUAUGCUAUUCAGAACAGGUCAAGGUUCAUUUUCAUGCAAAUUAUAUAAUCCAUGCUAAUUUCAAAAGAUGCAAACUUGCAUAUGUCAGAAAAAUAACAGUCUGUAUCAUGUCUAGACGAAGUUGUAUAAUAUAUAUGAACAGAUCAUGUUAUACAUCCAUGAAAAUACAUACAGUAGUUGCCAUAUACCAGACUAUAGGCAGAGAAUGAAAGCUCUUAUGCCACUAUGCCAAGCCAUAUUGUAACUGCAUGUCUGAAAUAUUUAAACUAUUGUUUCUAGGCAGUAGGUGCAGACCACACACCUAACAAUUUAACACAAUAAAACUACAGUAUAUAGAAUAAUUUGCUAAAGAGUAAGUCACAACCGUAGCAGAACAAUUGUGUCAAACCAGCUAGUGUGUGUCAAACACUCUUAUCUAGUUAUGCUUGUCUAAUUAUUC